GGUAAGAAUCGUUGCGAGGGGCUUACUGACAUCAUUCGUGCAUGACGAUAUCGACGUACCUACGCAAAGCUCCAGGGCAGAACGACUCUGUUUACUUCACUGAGUAAUCCUGAAUGAACGGAGAGGACGAAAGGAGAAGAGGAUCAAGACGAGGAUGGUGCAGCCAGUCCUAUAGUGGUGACGUGACGAAUUGUAUGAGUUUAGCCUGGGGAGUGGUGAAGUUGAUUCGUAUCAUGUCUGUAGAAUGGGAAUGGAAAAGCAGACGCUGGCGGAACGCCAUUGGAGUCAGGUUGAGAGAGACUUUUUCGAGUGAAGAGCAAUUCAAGGAACUUUUCGUUUGGAGCUAGAAGAGGACAUUAUGUUGAGAUCUGGUGGAAGGCAGACCUGCCUGUGGUAAUGUGUGGUAUCUGUUCGUGUCGGUUACAGAUUCUGGACUGUCACAAAAAUACUCUAACUUUUUUUCCGAUUGCAUUACAGAAUUGAGGAUAGACAGAGUAUGAGUUUGUACUCCUUAUCUCGGGCGUGUUAAUUUGUAAAUAAUCUUGUUGAACUAUGAACUUUUUUGACCUGGUGAUUAUUCCUUGUACUGUAAUCAUGAAGUGAACUUAAUUUUCACGUAUCUUUAAUGAUUACUUAGUAACAUUGGAAACAAAACUUCACUCCAUUCGCUAAGGGUAUUUUCUGUAUGUAUUUUAACUGGAUAUCGUAGGACCAUUUUCCGUUUAUUUGAGAUGUCCUUUCUUGAAUAAGCAUUAUUCGACAUAAUUCUCUGUCGUUUACA
Schistocerca cancellata (South American locust) is the source of this 781-nucleotide long non-coding RNA. RefSeq lists it as uncharacterized. The transcript is spliced from 3 exons. NCBI's taxonomy places the organism in Eukaryota, Metazoa, Arthropoda, Insecta, Orthoptera, Acrididae. The record is from RefSeq and is a predicted model, not a curated record.